AUGGAAAUUGGAGUCAGGGCUGAGAUACCAGCAGGGGCCAGGGGCACAGGAGCUGGAAACUUGGAGGUGUUGAAGAUGCCAACUCAAGAUCUGGGCAUGGAACAUGACAGCAUUUUAAAGAGGUCCUCUGCCAUCCCCGAUUUCUUCAGUGACGAUGGCGAUUUGAACACCACCGGAAUGACAGAGCAAGACACCGUUCCUGAAAGGAUGCAAGUAUUUCAGGACUCAGGUCUGGAGGACACUGCAGUGAAGGACUCCAAGAGUCCCAACAGUUCAUUUGGGACUUUGGGAUCUGUUCGCACUUUGCCGUUUCCUGCUGGAUCGCAGGAUACUAUGGAAAACCAAGGGCCGGAGCAGGAGCUCCUAGCUUCAGACACAGAUAAGCAGGAAAGCGCAGAGGAAGAGCACGAUCAGAGAUCUCCAGAUCCCGAUAAGCCGAAGCCGCUCCCAAAUCCUGAUAGUUUCCUCGAGGCGAGGGUGGAAGCUCCAAAGGAAGCCAAGCCUGAACGUCCUGGAAAGAAAUCCGGAGGGAAAGAAAAAUCGGAGAAGGCGAGAAGGAAGAAAGGGAAGAGGGGUCAAUCAGAAAACUCUUCGCAACUCUGGGAAAAAAUGGCUCAAUACUUGGUCUCUGUCCUGCUGCCCAUCUCUCUGAAGAUCGCGAAGACCUGCUGGAAAGGAAGCACCUCAAAAUCGAGGGGCAAGGUCCUGAAACGACCAGGGAGGCCACAGACAGGAAAAGCCAGUUGUCUUAUCACAUGCAUAUUUCUCUUAUCAUUGCUGAGAACCGCUUGCUGUGGUGUACUGGCUUGCCCUGGAGACGUUGUGAAACUACAUUUCAACCUCACUGGUAAUUUAAAAGGACAUGUUUCGCUUAUUAACAGCACUUCCAACAUCUACUUUUACUACACUCAACAUCAGCCCAAUACGUGUCGCCCAGAGGUGUUAGAAAAAUUUGAACCAUGCUUGUCCAAGGAUGGCGAAACUCUCUACCUGACCAGGAUCGCAUCAAAGUCCACUGCAAUCAAAUACACCCUGGAGUAUGAGACUGAUGAAGGAGCUUCUGUAACCAUGUCUCUCUCUCUGUCCUUGAAAAAUUGUUCCGAUGACAAGCAUCCCACACCCACGCCACCUACCUCUACUCCAUCUCCCCUUAAGACUGACUGUAAGUUCUACAAUUAACUGCUUUAACAAAAGAUUGUAACCAAUGUGGUUUCCUUUGCACUAUUACUGACUUUGUCGCAUGCAAACUUUUAUUCUCUCAAUGACUCAAAAGUGUGAUGUGUGUUAUAUCGAUUUGGCUGUGAGCAGCCCAUUCAUAAGAACUGCUUCAUGUGUCAUCUCUUUCAUAACUCUCACUUGGGGACUUUUGAGGGAUUUAUUCUGUAAAUCUAAGGUACAUUUGUGCUUUUACUGCUUAAGAACAUAAGAAACGAAAGGAGUUAAUUAUUCCCAGGUUCAUAUGCAGGCAUUUCUUGGAAGAAAGUAUGGUAUUGGCUUUAACAACGUUCUCAUUGAUAGUAGAUAUAUUAAUAAGAAAUCUUGUUGCUUUUUGUUCUCAUCUAGGGGCAGCUACACCUGUCUUCAUUACAGUGGCUUUCGUCUUUCUUGGAUCCUUGAUUGUGGGGCUGAUUUUAAGACACCGCUGUAAGAAGUAAGUGUGACUGAAUCGGUUUUCUGAUUGUGUUGAUAUUGUAUGGGAUUCUGCUAUUUCAGAAGCCAGACCAGGUGUAGUGCAAGUGCUCACAUUACUCCUGUCCUGGAGUCCUUACACUGGCUUCCUCUCAGGUUUCGUGUUGACUUCGACGGCUCGACAUGGCUUGGCAACAUGAGCUAUUUGACUUACUAUCAUUCCACUGUCCACCUCGAAACCUUCAUUCGUCUGAUUCUGGUCUUGUGUCUGUCCCCCAAGCUAUCUUACACUCUAUUAUUCAUAAUAAUUUAUUAAGAAUUUACAUUAUGUAGUAUACCGAGGCAUAUGAGAAGACUGGACUUACACAUCAAGCAUCCAUCCUGGUCUGUCGAUUCAGAUUUGUGAUCAGGGUAUGGGGAAUGUGGAAAAUGUCCCAUCAAGUCUGAAACAAAUCAAGAAAUCCAGCAUCACCUGAAGUGUGAGGAACUUCAAUGUGCAAUUAAGGCUAGAAUAAAUCGUUCGAUACUGCCCUCUAGUGUCUAGCCUGGAGAAAUAACAGGUGAUUUCAGAGGACGGUUGAAGGAAACAAGUUUUUUUUUUUUAUUUUGACUCAGAACAGGUAAGGUAUAUGGAUUUUGUCAGUCAGCUGUAGUCUAUUUCAUGUGAGAGAGCUGAAAGUCCACAUUGUGGUUUGAAAGACAGAAAUUAAAUUUCCUGUUGACAGAAAGCAAUAAAGAACUUCCCUGGUGACAGAAAAGAUAUCGUAAUUCCAGAAUGGAAGUUGAAAACUGAUUAGGUAGACAAUUAUGGCUAACGUGCAGGAGGAUACAGUACAAUCGUGCUAAGCCAGUGUGCAUGGUGAUGAACAGAAUUGUGCAGUGUGUUUUGGGGUUCUUAACCUCAUUCUCUUUUGAUCUUUCUAGGAAGAAAAUGUCAGGUGGAUGCAACACAGUGUUGUGUUAUUCACACAAUAGUGCCUCACAAGAGGAAACCACACAGGAUGGGUAAUUAAUCUUCUGUCUUCACCUAUUCACAUUAAUUUAAACAAAACAUGUUUCCAGAAGCCUAGUAUGCAGAAAAGUGAAAUUUAAGAGAAAAUUACAUUUUGACUUGAAGGAAAACAUAACACUACACUUGACAGAUACACACAGCUCUUUUAUAGUUGAAAGGAUAAGAAGAACUGUAAGGAUUUGUUAAUCUCCUAUUAGCUCGCUAUACAAUAAGUGCUCUCAGACAUUCAGUCAUAAAGCUUGAGCACGUGAAUUUUCUCAGUGCUUGUGUGCAUUUGCCUGAACUUCCAUGAGAUCAGGUUCAUGCAGAUUUUUUUUGUCACUCUAUGUGCUAAGCCUGAAAAAUAUUUGAUUGGGUUUUCUUGCAUUCUGUUGUUAUAAUUAGUUUCAAAAUAAUGCAGUGUAUAGAUCCAUGACUAAGGCUAGGAAAAAUGAAAAAAUGCACUUUAGCAUGGAAAUGUAGAUUAAAACUUGCAUAGCAUUACAAAAAAACAGCUUGACUAUGAAACACAUACCCAACCUUAUGGCUCAUCUGAUUUAUCCCGUACUACCUUACAUCAUGAAUACUCAUGCCAUUCAUCCUUCCUGCAGGCAAGCGAUGAAUCGGAUGUUAAACUGAAAUCCGACUGAUUCUUCAGCAGUGGAUGCUGUAACUCGGACAACAGGAAGCCAGUCUUUGGAAUGAGCUGUAGCUCCAGGUUUGCCUGGCUAGGCCUGGCCUCCACCAUGCUGUUCCUGAAUUGGUUAAAUGAUGAAUUAUACUGAAUUCUAAUAUUAGUAAGGACUGUAAAAUAAAUACCAGUCUGCUUUUCACACCUCCUUUUGAGCCUUGGUUCCUCGCAAGGUUUCUUCUUCCUGUAAUGUGAGGGAGUUUUUCCUGGCCACUGUCGCCUUCGGCUUGCUCACUGGGAGCUCAGGCCCAGGAGUCUGUGAAGCGCUUUUUACAAUGUCACAAGGCAGUGUGGUGGCAUGGCUGCCUCACUGUGUGAGUGCACUGUUUGUAAUUCCAGGGCUUUACAAACAGUGGAGCAUGUACUGUAGGUUUUCUCCUGGUGCUCUGGUCCAGAGACAUACUGGGAAGUGAAUUGGCUUCUGCCCUCCCAUGAACUGGUCCCCCAUCCAGGGUAUACACUUCCUUAUGCCCGGACACUGGAAUAUCUCCCAACUCUUCUUGAGAAAUGCCUGGCCAUCAUUAAUGAUCGCUGAGAGUCAGGACCUCGGUUUAACAUCUCAUCCCAAAGAUGGUGCACACUACAGUAGAGUGUCCCUGCCAUUAUACUGGGGCAUUAGGCACUGGUCCCACUAACACCACUUCCAACAGCAACCAUAGCUUCCCAGGAGGUCACCCACUGACCAGCCUCAACCCUGCUGAGCUUCAGUGGGUGGCCAGCUGAGUGCUGCAGGGUGAUACAGCUGCUGGCUGUAACCCCGUCUGCUUGUGCUUUGUUAUCUAUAAGCAAAUCAUAUAAAUAAUUACGAGCUUCUGCUUAUUAAAUGUAUAUCUGCUUCAUAGUGGUGUAUCGUUUUCCUUAGAUCCGUUACUUCGCUUUUCCAAGGGAAUUUAGUCGAUUGUGUACACUCAACGCGAUAGUUUGUUUUACAUAUCUUAUGCGUUUUAUUCUGCUGUUAUUGUUCUCUUUCCUAGUUGUUGAUACUACUGAAACUGAAAAUAAAAAACUUUGUUUUUCAACAUUUCUCAUGGUCGCUCUUUUGUACUUGACUUUCCCAGACAGUUGCAGGAAAAAAAAAAACGUAUUCGGCGUUGUCACAACAGAUCCAGUCUCAACUAGACGGUGGUUUAGGAAAUUACCUGAACAUGUUGCAAUAUCUUCAGUUCAGCGGCCUGAACUAAAAUUCCAUGAUAAACUUUUUCUAGUAUCA
Lepisosteus oculatus (spotted gar) is the source of this 4521-nucleotide long non-coding RNA. NCBI's taxonomy places the organism in Eukaryota, Metazoa, Chordata, Actinopteri, Semionotiformes, Lepisosteidae. The record is from Ensembl.